Molecule: long non-coding RNA, 1374 nt
Filed under: Medicago truncatula (barrel medic)
Lineage: Eukaryota; Viridiplantae; Streptophyta; Magnoliopsida; Fabales; Fabaceae
Description: long non-coding RNA (MTRU_LNC005397)
Source: RNAcentral
UAACAAUUCAAAUCCUUUAUAUACAUCAAUUAAUUGUGCAAUAUUGUAAAGAUAGGCUAAGCAAGCUUUAUUUUGUAACAGAUUGGUGUUGUUUCAGCACACGGUCCUAACUCCUAACAAACUUUGGAGUAACCAAUUUUGUUUUCCUGAAAUACAAGAACAGGAAGACCUCACUUUCCCUUGUUUUCUCUCUUUUUCUAUGAUAUAGCAUAUUGCUAAAAUAUGCGGUACACCAAUGGACAAAAAUCUAAACAAAGCCCCUACAGCCAUCCUAAUUCUACCAAAGUCCAAAGGUAGUGAUGAUGCUAACAUAUACAACAAAGUAACAGAGGAUCCCAGCCACAAGCACAGCCACAUAAAGGCACAACAAAGCACCAAAAACCUCUAAAACCCAGCCUAGUAUAUCCCAGCCUCAAAACCAGCCCCCAAGUUAUGGAUAUUGUGCACAAAAAACACAAACAGCUGACCAAAACCAGUCGCGCAAAAAACACAAACACAAACUUGUUAUAUUAGUAUACCAUUAUUCUACAAUUGAUUCAAAACAGCACCAAUACCAUUGUUUUCAAUCAAGAGUAACCAUUGUUAUGAAGAAAUCAUGACAAAGCAUAAUACUAACCAAAAAAUAAAUUGAAAAAAAAUGAUUUAAUUGAUGGAUAAAACUUAAUUUCAUAUACACAUUGAGAUCCAAAUUACAUGAGAGAGACUUAAUCUAAUAUACAUGUAAUCAAAAUCUGACUUGAUUGAAUACACAUAACAAGAUCUAAGCCUUCUUUAGAGACUUUCCUUCCCAAUAGCAGCUGUCCAGUUUUCUUGUUCAAAAUCUUUCAAACAGAUCCAACCUCCCUGCAACCCUUGACACACCAAAAAUCAUCUUGAUAAGCCAAAAAUCUUAUUCACCAAAACAACAUGGAUUCAAUCGAAUACGAGAUUGAGAAGGAGGGAUGUCAAUAGCCGUCGGAGGGCGAUGGUUGAAGGUUAUGGCGGCGGACGGCGAAGAAAACCGGUGGUGGUUUCUGAAUCGCGUUUUCUGGAAGCGAGAAAGAAAACUUGCGUUUUCUGUUUUCUAGGAACCAAAACCGGAGGGCGUUGUGUUUUAUUUCAUUUAAACUUGCUUUUUCAGUUUUUUUAUUAUUAUUUUAAUAAGCCUUGACACAUGUUAAAAUAUGAUUGGUCCUAUGGCACCAUAUUACUAUUGCACUGAAGACUGAAGUGCUUCCCCUCAUUCAUCAACAAUAUGGGGUUGGUUGAUUGGAAUCAUGUUCUAAGAGAAGCAAAUCAAGUGGCAUACCUAUUUGCGAAACAUGGGUUAUCUUUGAAUGAUGAUUUAAAGAUUUUUAAUUUUGUUCCUAGUUUUAUUUCUUUGCCUUUGUUGAC